RNA transcript from Cucurbita maxima (winter squash), 1543 nucleotides. It is a transcript of the gene named protein FAR1-RELATED SEQUENCE 9-like, with no coding region annotated. NCBI's taxonomy places the organism in Eukaryota, Viridiplantae, Streptophyta, Magnoliopsida, Cucurbitales, Cucurbitaceae. The transcript has 3 exons. The record is from RefSeq and is a predicted model, not a curated record.
CAUGAAAAUAAAAUUUAAUAAACAGUGGCAGUGAUCGGAGCCCUAGAAAGUGCCGGCGAAGGGGAAUCAUCCACCGUCACCGUCACUGUCACUGGUACUCUCCACCCGUGUGAGCGAUCGUGUUCCAAUCUUAAUGAAUUAACGAUUUGAACUGUUCUUCCUUCUUCUCAAUUGCCUCAAUUAGUUUUAGUUUCCUCUCCAAUGUCUUUAUGAUUUUGCGAAUUCUACUUUCUUCUCGAAUAUGGAAAGUUUAGGUCUCUCAAUUACUUGUACAAAUCUUCAGUUUGUAUAAACGAGAUAGUAUUUAUAUCUUUGUGUUAUCGGUAUAUUCGAGAAAAUUGAGGUUCGUCCAUUUCUGUAUAGCCGCGAUUAUAUCUCUCUAAGGAUCGCGAUUCAAUCUCAUUCUACUUUUGAAGCUGAAUUUAGAAAAAUGAGUUAAUGAGGCUGCAAUAUUUGAAGAAUUUGAAUCUUGUUGGGAAGCUCUUCUGAAUAAAUAUUACAUUAUGGACAAUGAAUGGCUUCAGUUAAUGUAUAGUGCUAGACAACAGUGGGGGUACCUGUUUAUGUGGGAGACACUUUCUUUGGGAGUAAGUUUGAAUUUGUUUUUUUGAUGGAUAUGUUACUGCAUCCACCACGUUACAGAUGUUGGUUAAACAGUAUGAAAAGGGCCAUGGAAAAUUGGUAUGGAAAAGAAUUAAAAGCUGAUUAUGAUCCAACUAACUCUAUGCUAGUUUUGAGACAAUAGGCUGCAGAUCCAUAUUCAAGGAGGAUAUUCAGAAAGUUCCAGGAGGAAUUGGUAGAAACUCUUGCCAAUCCUGCAACCAAAAUUGAUGAUACAGGAACCAUGGCAAGUAGCGAAAUUUGGGGAAGAUCAUAAUGCACAUGCGGUACAAUAAUCCAAGCAAUCAAAUGUAACGGCUCAAGCCCACCGCUACCAGAUAUUGUCCGCUUUAGCCUGUUACGUAUUGUCGUCAGCUUCAUGGUUUUAAAACGCGUUUGUUUGGGAGAAGUUUCCACACUCUUAUAAGGAAUGCUUUGUUCUUCUCUCCAAUGUGGGAUCUCACAUCAAAUGUGUUGAGGGAUCUCGCAUCAAAUGUUUUGAGGAAGGAGUAAAGUCAAUUCAUACUCCUAACGUGGCUAUGGAUAUGGAUGCCUUAAAAGAGGCCUCCAGAAAGGUUGCUGCUGUGAAGAAUCGUGGCCCUAGAGCUUUGAAUGGUGAUAUCAUCGCCAAUGGAGUUGUUGAUCAAUGGUUGCAACAGAAGAAGAUCAGGUAGCAACCUAUGGAUCAGUGGAAUAGGAGAACAAAAUUCAUGAUCUUGGAAAAAACUGAUCAACGUUGUGAAGUGUAUAGAGCAAAUCUCGUGGCUGUUCUUAGGGACGUGGAAGAGUUGGUUUUCACACCCUUAUAAGGAAUGUUUCGUUCUCCUCUCCAAUAGAUGUAAGAUCUCAUAAUCCAUUCUCCUAGGGGCCAGUGUUAUCAUUGGAACACUGCCCGUUGUUUGACUGAUACCAUUUAUAACAGCUCAAACUCUCUGCUAUUAUU